RNAcentral lists this long non-coding RNA (12721 nucleotides) under Oryza sativa (Asian cultivated rice). RNAcentral describes it as "long non-coding RNA (OSAT_LNC000628)". Lineage: Eukaryota; Viridiplantae; Streptophyta; Magnoliopsida; Poales; Poaceae. The record is from RNAcentral.
CUGCGGCAUGCUCCCCAGCAAGAGAAGAUUUCUGAGUCCAAAUCAGGCUGACAGGCAUGCCUGGUGGAGGAGCAACGAAGACCGCUGAGCGUGCAUUGCCAGCAUUUUUAGGGGUCUCUGCUUCAGGCGGAAGUUCCAGAUCUUCUAGGUCCCAACCACCUUCCUCGCCAUCCUCCUCAUUUGCUUCACCCUCCUCAGCAUCAAAACCGUCACCACCAUUUGCCAUCGCUUCGCUUGCAUCAACCAUAUCCAGGUCCUCAUCACCCCAGUCAGCACCAGCAGCUUCAUCGUCUUCCUCAAGUUCAGCCUUCCCAGUAGCAUCCAGUCCACCCUCAAAGAUACCAUGCAUCACCCUAAGCAAUGGCCAAUCACCACUGGCUGUAAGAGGAGCAGGGGGGAUCAAAAGAGAGCGAGCUUUUCCUUCAGGAAGAGAAGGAAUAUUUUCACCCAGCUCAGCGGCAAGCCUAUCAGCAAUUUCUGUGAGCCCAUGGGUGGUAGCAGUAAUAUAAGCAAGAGGUAGCUGUCCAGCAUUCUCUAGGAUCUCAACUCUCUUCAACGCAUCACCAAGAUACAGAGCAUUGUGGAAUUGACCCAUCAGGUUAUUGUUCUGUCCAGCAAUUUUGCACAUGAAACCCACCUUGUCCAUGUAACCAGUAAUAAGAUAUAGGAAAGCAAGCCUCUCAAAAUUCUUCGUACGUUGGUAUGCAUAUUCCACAAUACCAACAUUUCCCUGCCUCAGGGCCUCAAUUCCCAACCUGUACCAGUGAUCCUUGUCAUCAAUCUCUUUUGCAGAAGCAACUGCGAUUUGGAUGUUACCACUCUCAAGAGCAAGGUUAAAUCUUGUCUUCUCAUCUUUCACAAAGUGGAGGGCAACUUCUGGAAAGCCUUUCUGUUGUAAAUAAGAAAUCACAGCUUGCCCACACAGCUGGGAAUUCUUGAUCAUACUCAUCACAUGAUCAUACCGUUUGCGUAGAAGGGCCAGCUUGAAAAUGUACUCAGAUGCAUCAACUGUGACCAGCUUGUUCUUACCAUCACGAUCUAGACAGAAUAUAUUGUUCCCAAUAACCCUUGUUAUGUAUAUAGGAACAUCGAGGGUUUUAAUAAUCCCACUAUCUCCAUUGGGAAGGCAAUACUUGAUAUGAUUCAGGGUAGUGUAAAUAAACACACCAUUCUCAUCCCAGGCACCACUUUUCACACGAAUGGUUUCGUGCAGUGUACAGCGAUGGACGAGCUUCUUGUUUGCUAUAACCACUGCAUGCUUGCUCAGCAGUGCGACAGAUUCCAUAUCACUAGACCAAACAACAUAUUUAACAGAAGGUGCCUGGAGCUCACCAAGAAUUAACCUUUGCUGCAGAUCAAAGAUGGUCACUCGGUCUUCGGCUUUGCACAGCAAGUUACCAGUCCCAGCAUAAUAAAUUGCAUCCGUGGCAAUAGGAAGAGGGCUUUUCUUUACGAUUUCAUUCUUAAGAUUCUUCACCAAAACUUGAUUGCUACUCUUCUCAAGGACUGCAAACCUGUUGCGUGCCACGAAAACAGCUGACCCACCAGCUCCCUUCUUUGCAUCCUGCAAAUAGUCAGCCCUGCCAGCAGAAUCCUUGGGAACAAUGUAGAGUUCGUAUGAGCCUCCAUCCACAUCAGAGCAAAUCAGGACAGCAUUUUCAGUUGGACUGUAAGAUAGUGUCUUGGGUGACUGGUUCAAGCUCACUGAUCCAGGUCUUCUUAUUGGAGCAAGCUGAACUUCCUUCUGUGUGGUGAAUUCAAAAAAACGAAGAAAACGGUCCUUCACAUAGAAAACAGUAUCUCCACUCACAGAGAAAGCUGGACGUUCCCUCUCCAAUUUAAACACAAUCAUACCACUGUCAUGACCAGCGGCAAGAAGAUUCAUCUCAGGGUGAGCAGAAAGAAUCCAGAAACGAUCAUGUUCCCGCCUGAACGUUUGAAUACCGGUUCGCUUUGUGGCAUCCCAGAUGCGAAUGCUUUUGUCCUCUGAGUUGGACACAAUGAUGUCUUGCUUAGCAUGGAACAUCACGCAUGACACAUUAUUCAUGUGUCCCCGCAAAGUAUCAACUUCCCAAGCCUUCGUGUCUGUCCAAAAAAAUAGCACAUUUAGAUUACAUUAAUUCAAAUACCUCAAUAGCGGUUUGCUGCAUAUGCAUAUAGUUUUGUGUUUGGCCAGUCUAGCAAUAUGCAGAAGAAUGAAGUGCUAUGCAACAAGAAUGACCACCUUUCAUUCCAACCAAAGUGACAAACUAGAGGUCAGGAGCUAGUUACUAAUUGAGUAAUUGUGAAGCAUGUUUCUUGCAUUCAGCUUGUUCGGUAAUUACUACUUCUGUGAAAGUAUGAUAAAUUGAAGAAAACAAAAGGAAUUCAUAAUAAAAUCAAAUCCAUAGUUUGUAGUAAUAAUAUAUGGAAGGACAAAUGAAUAAAAACACAAAUAUGCAAGCGUUUAUCCAUGGAAAAUGGUAAUAGAAAAGUUUAAGGCCUUGUAGCAGUAUUACCAUUCAUUCUCCAUAGCUUCACUUGUCGGUCAUCUGCCCCGGAAACAAUGAGUGGCAAUGUGGGGUGAAAUGAUGCCCAGUUCACCCCACGGUCAUGCCCUUCCAACACAUAUUUUACAACUGCAUCAACACCUCCAAACAGAUCUGUGUUCAUCUGGGUGAGACGCAGGAUGUCAUCUGCAGGUGACACCGUCUUCUUCCUCAAAGCACCAAUAUCCCAAACACGGACAGUCUGAUCCAGUGAUGCUGACACAACCAGGUCCUCCUUGGGAUGGAAUGAUGCGCACAUGACAUAGUGGUUAUGUCCAGUCAGCACAGCUACACAUGUGCGUGACUGCCAGUUCCAGAUCCGGAUUGUCUGGUCAUCACUAGCACUUACUAUCCAUGGGUAUUCGUGGUGGAAUUGCACGGUGCGAAUAUAGUCAAGGUGCCCGUGAAGUGUGAAGAGGCAGCGGUGUGUCUUGUAAUUCCACACCUUAAUCUUGUAAUCAUCACCUGCAAUGCAUCACAGAAAUCUUAGAAUAGUUCAGAAGUUCAACCAUUCCGCAUCCCAAUCAUAUUAGUCCACCGAGCAAUACGACCGGACACCAGUAUGACUUCGUUUCAAGUUUCAACAGAUCCCAAAGUCCAGGUUUCAACAAAUUCCAAAGGUCCAUGAUGGCACCUUGCCAUCGCUAACUUGCUACUUGUAUCAGAUUCACACUACAAAAGCUGAUUCUCUCUGGUUGAGGGCUACACAUCGACUCAUUCUACUUCCUAUCAUAUCUCUUCUACGGAAGGAUUGCAAAAUCGAUGGAGAUCCCGGUCAUAAAUAGAAACAAAAUGUCACAUGAAGGUUUCAAACUAACAAUUCACCAAACAGUUCAUCUUAAGCUAAGAGAAUAGAACCAGCACCAGAUCCAACCAACGAGGAUCACUUGCACAACCACCACUGUACACGAAACGCGAUCUAAUCGCAAACCACGUACGCGUGGUAUCUACCUCGAGUGUCCUCAUUGCACCAUGAAAUGGAUCACGCGGAAAUCUAACGGCCACGCGAGACGUCCUCCAAAUCCGAGGAGGAGGAUCCGACCAAACACGCGUCGACGCCACACCCGACCCCGCGAGCGGCGAACCACCACAGCGAAAAAAAAAAUGCUCGAGGCGGGCGAGAUCUAGGCAGGGAGGAAUCGAUGUUUACCUCCGGAGACGAAGAGCGGCUGCGUGGCGUGGAAGUGGACGCCGCGGACGGGGCCGUCGUGCUCGUCGAAGCGGUCGAGGAGGGUGCCCAUGCGGUAGUCCCACAUCUGGAUCACCCCGCUGUGGAGGCUGGCCAGGAUCCAUGGCCGCCGCGGGUGGAAGCUCAGCCCCUUCACCCGGUUGCUCUUCGUCUCGAACUUGGUCAGCAUCUUCUCUAGCCGUCCCCCCGGCGCGACGGCGGCGGCGGCGGCGAAACCCCUCGCCGCUGAGGCGCGCGGAGGAGAGAGAGGGGGGAGGGGGGGUGGUAUGGCGUUGGGUGGAGAGGACGAAGGUGUUUUUGAGAUCUCGGGGUGGGAGGAGGAAGAAGUGGGGGGAGAGAUCUGGGUUUCGGACGCGGUGGUGAGGUGGUGGGAGGCUUGGCCACCGUUGGAUUCUGGAGACGGGGAGAUCUGGGCCGUUGGUUCCGGUGUGGCCGUGUUGUCAGAUUGGGGUAGACUUGUUUAGGGGUGAGUCAGCUUGGUCCGUAAGGUACCUGAUGAAUACUGUAGCUUCAGUACGAAGGCAGCGUUUUUGACUUGUCAGUAGCAGUAGAGAAAAAAAAAAGUUUAGGGCCAUUUGAAUCGCAUGGUUGAAAGAAAUGUAGGAAUAUAAAAAAGACAGGAUUCUGAUAAGAAUUGAAGUGUAAAACAGAGGAUUGCAAUAUACAUGAAUGGUCGUUUGAUUAGAGCGCAGAAAAAAAACGCAUGAAUCGAAUGAGAGAGAUAGACUCAAAGGACAUUUUCUAAGAGGUUGGAGCUCUUGCUAAAAUUUUCCUCUAAAAUCCACAUGCAAUGUGUCAUUCCAUAGGAAUUUCAUAGGUUUUGGAAAGCUUCAAUCAUUUGAAUCAAAGUACCAAAUAGAAAAAUUUCCUAUAGGAUUUGAAUCCUAUGAAAUUUCUACAUAAAUCCUUUGUUUCAAGAGGCCUUACCUUUUGUAGUUAUGUCAUUUAUAUUUAAAAAACAGGAUAUAUCAUAUAAAAAAUUAUAACCAUGCUAGUAGAAAAAAGGAAUUUAUAAGGCUGGUUAUAACCAUGGUUUAUACUUAUGCUAGUAGAACAAAGAGUUUCCAUGUCUUAAAAUGUCACAACAGAUGCAAGCAAACAAGCACAACCAUAAUACUUGCCGAUUUUGGCAGGUACAGUAGUAUAGGAAUGAGCGUUGGUUACUGCAAUUGUUUCUCCGAUGAAUCAAUAAGUGCAUUAUCGAUUGGAAUAAGAUAACUUAAUGGACGAUCCUUCCCGAGUCUUCAUCAACAACCAAGAGAAAACGAUAGACAUCAGAAAAGGUUAAAGGUGGUAAACAACAUAAUUCCAUAAAUGGAAGGGGACAAAAGACCUAGACAGUAUAUCACUAUAUUAGAUCUAAUCUUGUAAAUACUUUAUUUGAAAAACAAAUCUAAAAUAUUCCUAAAAUAAAAUAGAAGGGCCUCCUCACCAUCGACAAGGGUGCUAAAGACAGUAGGGAAGGGAAGGGGGACUAGAUGGGUUGUGAGGACGAAAGCCUUCAUGAAUUAAAUUGGUGAUUCAUGGUACGCUCUCGCUAUGACAUAUUCCAGUUUACCAUCCAAAUCUAUAUAAUACUUUAUCUAUAGAUAUAUCCACCUAGUUUAUUUGCUAUAAAAAAUCUAGCACAUGAAGUUUAAAGUGCAUCUAGGCUCUAAUUCAAUUUCAGUAAUCAAUGACUAGCGAUUAGAGAUGACUAACACCUUUGCAUAUAACUCUUUGGGCCUACAUGUCAUGUCAGUGGCUAGAUAUUAUGGAACUUGGUCCCUAAGCUUUCUAAAAAUCUUGAAUAGGUCCUUAUCUUCAACCACAAAUAAGAGGAGUGUAAUAAGUGGCGCGCUCAGCCAAGAGCCAAGGCAUGCCCAGGGGACCUCCGUGGUCCCUUCGGGUGCAGUAGGCACAUCAUAGAGUGGCUAGAGGACGACGGGCGACGAGCUCCUGAAAAGCCGUGGCCAUGAUGCUUAUGGUGGUGGGUAGGCAGUGCUCGGGUGGUAGAACGGCAAUAGCUCUAGCAACUACAUGCAUAGGGAAUAGGGAAACCGUAAGCAGGCUAGGGAUUUUCUCACUUAGAAGGGCUUUUCCCGCACUUAGUGAUGGCGGGAGGUAGCAGUGGUGCUUCGGCAAGAUAUGAACAAUGUUGGUAGGCGCGGCUAUUCGGGAAGGGGAAAACGAGAUCAGUGCAACAUGGGGAAAAAGGUGAUGCACAUGGUUGAAAGGUGAUCUCACCGAGGACGUUGCGAUAGGCUCUUGUGCUUACCAGCACCAAUGAUGGCUCCUUUAUUCCUGACAAGAGAGAGAGCCAUGAGCUCCCUCAAGUUGGAAUAGAAUGGGGCGAGUUGAGGAAAAGGAGUGCAACAGGAAGGUUUAUGCGAGGGUUGCAAGCUCAUUUCAUGGCAUUACUCUAAUAUGGCGACCUCAAGCCGUGUGGUGAUGGAACGGGAUUGUCGGGGGUACCGUGGUAUCAGGGAGGAGCCAGGAGGAUUGAUAGCUUGAAAUCUUUGGUCAGCAUUGAAAGAUUUGGUCGGUUUGACUUAGUCGGCACAAGAGGGACCGUAUACGUUCAACGAUUAGCGAGAAAGAAAUAGAGUAAAUUCCCUGUGUACCCCUGAAAACUCACUCAAUCCCUUUCAUACUCCUAAAAUUUACCCGAUCCCUUCUGUACCCCUGAAAUUUCAAUUUGAUCCCUUCCAUGCCCCUACCGUUACAUUUUCCAUCAUUUUACUGUUACGUUUGGUUGCAAAUGUCUUUUUUGCCCUUGAUGCUUUAGGUUUAAAUAUAAGCUUCAAAAAUAAUUGAAAAUUUUGUUUGAGUGCACAUCGUGUGCAUUUUAUAAAACUAAUGAGACUAAAUAAUUAGUGCAGAAAAUUUUGACAUAAAUUUUGAAAAUAAAAUAAAUGUAAAAAAAAUAAAAUUUUUAUUUGAAAUUUUAAUAGGACAAUGGAUUUUUUUAUCAGGAGCAUUCAUAAAAAAAAAUGUUGUGAACAUUGGUAUACCUAUCUUUAUAUGAAUGCUCCUCAUUUUUAUGACCUUUUUUUAAAAAAAUUAAUACGUAUUUUUUUAUUUCAUUAUCUAAAAAUAUUUUUUUGGGAUAAAUAAUGCAUCGCACAACAAACUCAUAACUAUAAUAGUCUCAUGCGAGAAGCUUUUAUAUUUUUAAUAAUGUAAUUCAUGAAUUUCUUUGUUCAUCCAAGGGUAAAAUGGUCAUUUUUAUAGAAAAUACACGGUCAACUAACGGUCAACUGACGGGAGGGGUAUGCAAGGGAUCAAAAUCAAAUUUUGGGGGUAUAUAAGGAAGUAAGCAAAAUUCAGGGGUAUAGAAGGGAUUAGGAAAAAUUUCAGGGGUAUAUAAGGGAUUUUCUCAAAGAAAUAUGGUGAGAGAUGAGUGUUCAAAGGCGAGUAAAAAAAAUUCUACAACCACAUUGCAUAAUAAAAAAAAUCAAAUAAUAAUUUCAUAUAACUAGACUAGAACAAAGCUUAAGAGGUGAAAGGAGUUUUAUGCUAUGAUUUAGUAGUCGUUGAGACCUAUGUUACUCAAAAUUUUAGACUCAAUCUACGGGGUUUUUUUUUUGCCCACGGGUUGGUGGGUACGGGCGUGUAAAGAACGGACCAUACCCAUGUACCUAACGGCUAAGAGUUUUCGCCCGUCAAUAGACUCAUGGGUAUAAGAGUUAGAACAUGAUUAGCUCCUAAUAGAGUAAAAAUCCGUCGGGUGUCGGGUCACGGGUCCCCAUUGACAUCUUUACUUCCAAGUCAUCAUGCAUGGAAAAAAAAAACCAAAAAUAAUUUAGCGCAUAUGAAUUUAUGUACAUCAUUUUGAAGUUUUCACUACUUCAUUUUCUUCUUGGAUGUUGCGUCGAUGAUGAACAAAUUGAAUGAAGUUAAAUUUCUAUUUCAAUGGUAGAAUUUAAUAAGUUUCUAAUCCAUGUUAAGCUAAUCUUAUUGAAGUAUAAUAUUUUCUAUAAGGUCAUCGGGCUAUGUGAUGUAUUUUGCCAAAAGUCUUCACAGUUUAUUUAUGGGUGAUUUAACUACAAUAAGUGGGAAAAGAUUAUUUGUUUAGAUCUUGGUUUAAAAUUCUAAUUUGACUGAGUUGCUGGGGCAUCACAAUAAUGGUAAAGAUUAUAAAAUGUUUUUGUGAAGUCUGUUUGUUUUACUUCGGAUCGAGUUGUCUUAGCCCCAGGCCCCAGCAUGCUUUGUACCUUUCCUCCAUGUAUGAAAAAUAGUCAUGAGUGUUAACAUUUUUAUGUAUUGUUCGUAUAUUAUAAUAACAUCUAAAAUUUACUAAAAUGUACUUAGUAUUUAUUUGUGAUUAGGAAAAUCAAUUUUGCUUUGAUAAAAGUAUUUUUCCUUGCAUUUCAUUUGCAUAAAAUGUUGUUACGUGGGUGCAUGGUUUGGGAUUAAAGACGUUUGAUUUAUUAUAUUUGCGUAUGCUAUGUUUUGAUUUUCAUUUAUAUGUAAAAUAAACUAUUAAAAUGAGUUUUAACAUUUUAAGGCAGCUAAAUGCGUCCCCUCCCCGGUCCAGUCCCCGGCAUUCUCAGCGGUGACGAGGGAAAGGGUACCCAUCUUAGGAUUUAUUCCAAUUACAUCCUCCUAUUAUCAAUCUAGGAUAUUUCUCCCAUGGUGUUUCUUGAAUCAGGUUUGGUUAAAUUCUUUUGCUCUUUUUACAUCUCUUGUUGGAGGUUAUUUCGUUUGCAAGAUUCCCAGUUCGCCAAUGAAGCAAUCAAUGGCACCACCUUUAAGGUUAGGGUCACCGAUUUGCUGAUUUAUCAAAGGAGUGAAGAUAGUGGCCUGUGUUCCUUGAUUUCUUUGUGUGCAUGUUGGAGUUGGUUAGAGUUGUCUCACUAUCCAUUGUUAAUAAGAGAUUAAGCAGCAAACAAGAGACUAAAAUGUGGUAAAUUUCCAGUAGCAUGGAAGGAAUUUAUCCGUUCACUAAUGAAUGAUUACCGCGUCUAAGAGCAUAGGGGUUUGACGCCGAACAAAGCUAGGCCUAUAUUUUUCAGUUAGGACAAUCUAUAUAUAUUUUUAACUUUUCUGGCAUGAACUUAAUGUGUCUAAUUGUACUUUGCCCCCAAAAGGCCUAUGCCCAAUACCUUGGAUGUAAAGUGUUUUUUUUAGUCAUUUACUCCCUCCAUCUCAGAAUAUAGAGAGUUUUAACCCUUGACAUGGCUAUUAAGGAGAAGGGUAGAAAGACUUAUUUGCCAUCUUAGGAUAGAUGAUGUGCAUGUACUGACUAUAAUUAAAACAAGGAAUAGUUAGGUAAUAUGGGUAGCUUAGUAGAAAAAAUACAACCUAUUACUAAUACUAUUUUGCUAUAUUUGAGACAAAUCUUGAAUUCUAUAAGUUGUUAUAUGCUACAUUUGAGAUAACUUUUGAAUUUUAUAUUUGAGAUAACUUUUGAAUUCUAUAUGAGGUUAUAUUUUAGUACGAAGGGAGUAUGGGAAAAUAUGUAAUGUAGUAGAAACCUAAAAACUACAGUUGGAUUCAAAAAAUAGCACCCGAGUGUAAAUUUUUUACUCUUAAUGACGUGAAAAAAUCUCAUACAUUUAUUUUUUUUAUUUUUAGAUCAAUGAUAAUUAUAAGUUUCUAUUACAUAUGUGCAUUUUUAGGUGCAACGGUAGUUUGCUGGGGGAGAAUUGCUGUUUUUUUUUUCCAGUACCCAAGUUUACACUGCGCCAACAAUACAAGGGAAAUCUUUUCCCAGCAUUUGGGUAAAGUUCUCUCUCCUACUUGGGAGCACCGGAUUUUUUUUUCUCACCUAUAUAACUUUUUCUCAGAAGUUAACACAUGACAUGCUAUGGAAUUGCAUAGUUUACUGCCCAAAACACUGUCCAGGCUACGACAUUGUUCUGUUGUGCCGCAGCAGAAGCAACGAAAAAUAGAACUGAAGCAGUACGUUCUAAGGACUAAGGACUUGUUUAGAUGGGACUAAAACUUUUAAAUCCAUAUUAUAUCGGAUGUUUGGACACUAAUUAUAAAUAUUAAACGUAGACUAUUAAUAAAACCCAUCCAUAAUCUUGGACUAAUUCGCGAGACGAAUCUAUUGAGCCUAAUUAAUCCAUGAUUAACCUAUGUGAUGCUACAGUAAACAUUCUCUAAUUAUAGAUUAAUUAGGCUUAAAAAUUUUGUCUCGCAAAUUAGCUUUCAUUUAUAUAAUUAGUUUUGUAAGUAGUCUAUAUUUAAUACUCUAAAUUAGUGUCUAAAUACAUGGACUAAAGUUAAGUCCCUAUAUUCAAACACCACCUAACAAACUAUAAUCCUGCAGGUCCUAGUUUAGGCCAAAGUUGGCAAUGAACAACCAAUUUGGAACUGAACAGCCCGCUUGAAGAUUUACAACACACAGAUCAUUUGCUACUCCUAAAAGGAGCAUAAACAAGUAUCACAAUUCUUUGUUAACCAAACAAUCUUAAGGUGAUCAACAUUGUGAACAUACAGUGUAACAAAAGCAAGCGUGGACGGUGACAAUCACAAGCAACAGAAUGAACAAAAUAAUGCGAGAAAGUAGCUCAAUAGGAUGACAAUGAAAGUAACACCACGACAAAAAAUUUCCAAGAGUGAAAGUAAUAUUGGUACAUCAAUUGUCCAGGGGUAGGCGCAUAGGCCACCAUGAGAUGAUCAAAAGUCCAUAUAUGACAAGUGUAACAGCUGCCUCAAGGCAAACAAAAAUCGAGGGAAAUGAGGGGGAGAAGAUACAAAAACACGACCAUGUAUACACUCCUCAAUCAGUAAACAUGCAGCUAAAAUGUGAGAUAGAGAAUCCCUAGAAUUUUAAGAGACUAAAAGAAAAUGGGGGAGCUCUACCUUAGCACCACUUAUCUCAACUGUGUGGGCGAGCAGACGAGGCCUGAAGCAUCUGCACCAACCACGGCAAGCUCACAUAUGGUACAAAGCUGCCCUUCGAUCGAAGGAACAAACCGGGAUCCACAGUACGGGCAGGAAACAUCCUUCUGGCCACGGUAGAUUGGAACAUAUGUGGCGCCACAGACAACAAAUGGAUUUCUGUAGUCAUAGUUCAGCUCAGAGCUAUCCUUCUUGCCACUGCACUGCUGCUGCACCUGUCGAGCCCUCCUUGCCUGGGCCUCAUUAGGGUUGUUCUCCAGAAGCAUCCUUGCAAAGUGCUCUGCAGUAGCGAAGUUCUUUUGCUUGUAGCACAGACCCAUAGCGCUUCCAAGCACAAGCCUCAUAUGAACUCUCUGAAGCUUGCAGUUAGUGAAAUAAGCAGCCAAUUCUUGUUGGCGGUUGACAUCAUCUCUCAACUCCUUCCUCUUAAGUUCCAUCCUCAGGCCAAGAACAUACUCCCUCACAAUCUCGAUCAACUCUUUCACUUCAUCCACUUCCCUCCUCGAGUCUACCACGAUAAGAGGGAUGGUAUGCAAGAUGCUAAGGAACUGCCUCAGGGCUUCUGGGAACUUACCAUCUGUGGUGGCCUUAUAGGCAGCCUUGAGUCUGUCUUCCAUUUGUGGGAAGGUGAAAACAAGUGCAGGAGGGCCUCUCACAUUAGGACUUGCAGACUCGCUCCAACCUUUCUCAACAGCAACUGGUAUGAUGGGGGCAGUUGCAAGUGCAUGAAGAUAUGAGUGGCUGCCCAUGUGCAGAUCAAGAAACAGGGGCUUGAGGGGAGCAAAGUUUUUUAUGCCCAACUGGCGACUAAGCAACCUCAUUGCAGUGUCAAAGUUCCCUGCUGCUGCAUGCUCCCCAGCAAGAGAAGAUUUCUGAGUCCAAAUCAGGCUGACAGGCAUGCCUGGUGGAGGAGCAACGAAGACCGCUGAGCGUGCAUUGCCAGCAUUUUUUGGGGUCUCUGCUUCAGGCAGAAGUUCCAGAUCUUCUAGGUCCCAACCACCUUCCUCGCCAUCCUCCUCAUUUGCUUCACCCUCCUCAGCAUCAAAACCGUCACCACCAUUCGCCAUCGCUUCGCUUGCAUCAACAAUAUCCAGGCCCUCAUCACCCCAGUCAGCACCAGCAGCUUCAUCGUCUUCCUCAAGUUCAGCCUUCCCAGUAGCAUCCAGUCCACCCUCAAAGAUACCACGCAUCACCCGAAGCAAUGGCCAAUCACCACUGGCUGUGAGAGGAGCAGGGGGGAUCAAAAGAGAGCGAGCUUUUCCUUCAGGAAGAGAAGGAAUAUUUUCACCCAGCUCAGCGGCAAGCCUAUCAGCAAUUUCUGUGAGCCCAUGGGUGGUAGCAGUAAUAUAGGCAAGAGGUAGCUGUCCAGCAUUCUCUAGGAUCUCAACUCUCUUCAUAGCAUCACCAAGAUACAGAGCAUUGUGGAAUUGACCCAUCAGGUUAUUGUUCUGUCCAGCAAUUUUGCACAUGAACCCCACCUUGUCCAUGUAACCAGUAAUAAGAUAUAGGAAAGCAAGCCUCUCAAAAUUCUUCGUACGUUGGUAUGCAUAUUCCACAAUACCAACAUUUCCCUGCCUCAGGGCCUCAAUUCCCAACCUGUACCAGUGAUCCUUGUCAUCAAUCUCUUUUGCAGAAGCAACUGCGAUUUGGAUGUUACCACUCUCAAGAGCAAGGUUAAAUCUUGUCUUCUCAUCUUUCACAAAGUGGAGGGCAACUUCUGGAAAGCCUUUCUGUUGUAAAUAAGAAAUCACAGCUUGCCCACACAGCUGGGAAUUCUUGAUCAUACUCAUCACAUGAUCAUACCGUUUGCGUAGAAGGGCCAGCUUGAAAAUGUACUCAGAUGCAUCAACUGUGACCAGCUUGUUCUUACCAUCACGAUCUAGACAGAAUAUAUUGUUCCCAAUAACCCUUGUUAUGUAUAUAGGAACAUCGAGGGUUUUAAUAAUUCCACUAUCUCCAUUGGGAAGGCAAUACUUGAUAUGAUUCAGGGUAGUGUAAAUAAACACACCAUUCUCAUCCCAGGCACCACUUUUCACACGAAUGGUUUCGUGCAGUGUACAGCGAUGGACGAGCUUCUUGUUUGCUAUAACCACCGCAUGCUUGCUCAGCAGUGCGACAGAUUCCAUAUCACUCGACCAAACAACAUAUUUAACAGAAGGUGCCUGGAGCU